This 387-nucleotide ribosomal RNA is filed under the name Triticum aestivum (bread wheat). RNAcentral describes it as "partial small subunit ribosomal RNA". Lineage: Eukaryota; Viridiplantae; Streptophyta; Magnoliopsida; Poales; Poaceae. The record is from RNAcentral.
AUGCGUGGAGGCCAUUGCCAUAAGGAGUUCCAUGUCCGAGUCUUCGAUAAGGUGCGUCAUCGUCGACAACAUGGAGGCGAGUCACCGGCGAGUUGUGUCACCGGUGAUGAGCAUGGAGGCAAGUCACCGGCGAGUUGUGUCACCGGUGGUGAGCAUGGAGGCGAGUCACCGGCGAGUUGCGGCACCGGUGGCAAACAUGCGGCAGCGAGCAUGCCACGGCGGUGCGCUCGUGGUGAAGGCGCGGGAGGUGUGGCUCUCAUCUAGGCCAAUACGAUGGCGGCAAUCGGCGUGACAAGAUGGCAUUGGCGGCCGUCUGUGUGAUGCGUCGACGACGUCAACAACCAUUGGCUUCAAGAGAGAAAUAAGUUAACAAGAUUAGGGAGGUGA